UCUGAAAUAAGAACGAAACAACGGUUAGAAAUCUUCUGUUGCAGAAACUACAGUGACAGCUAGCAUUACAACUACCAGUUUGGCCAAUAUUCCAGUUGAAGCAAGUGAUGGAAGAAAGAAAAUGUUUGCACAACGGACAGUUGUAUCGGUAGGUUGGAAAAAUUUUCCUGGGGAUGCCCACAAGUUUUCCCAUGGUCCCCAGGAAUCAAUUGUUGUUGUUUGGAGCAUGUCAGUUAGACAAGAGAGGUGCUGACAACAACAAAAGUAAAAGUGUGUUUUAUUUUCGCGGACCAAUGGAUACACACAUGUAGCAUUAGAUAAGAAAUUUGAGGCUCCAACUUCUUUUCUAGAUUAGACAUACGUACAGCUGGAAGCCAUGUGUAACUGGAGUAUUCUGCUUCAUGCCUCUGAAAGGCCAUCGCGACUUCUUUUUCUUUGGAGGAUAGAUUAUUACAACUUGGACGCACUUUAAUCUAUAUUGAACUAUCCUACACAGACCAUUACUGAACAAUCAUCAGCUAAUGAUCUACGCCUUUCUCAAUACAUCUGUUGGUGCACACAUAGUCAGCAAUCAGAUCUCAGACUUAAGAACACAUUUUAAAUCCAGUCCAGAUAAUGGCAUGCGUCAACAUUAUGUGCUGAUUCAGUAAGGUACAACCAUCGGCCACAUGUUGCAGGCCAGAUGCUGACGCAGAGAAAGAGAGAGGCCACCGGCCCUUCCCUUUCCUGAUUGUGGCUGCCACCGUGACCACAAAGGAUCACAAUUAUUGACGACGCUUAUUAGCCGAAGCUUCAGUUCAAUUCCAUGACAAAGAGCACACGUUUAGUAUGAAUGUGAUGUUAUUUAUUUCCCUUGCACCGCUUGUUUGCGCAGGAGACGCGACGCUAACAGGGAAAGGAGAUCCGGAGGCAUAAAUGAAGCGGGCACGAUCCUAACGUCCGGAAAGUGGCAACUGAAUUUGCUGAGUUCCAUCAAGAGAUUAGGAGGGACCAUGUCCAUGGUGCACCUCCUUUGCUGAAGAAAGGUAGGUAGGUAGGCAGGCAGGUGAUGGGAGGAUGGGAUGGGGGUGUCAACAUUGAGGCAAGUGAACAAAGUGCUCCAUGAUGUUGCUUAGUUGAUUCCAUCCAUCCAUCCAUCAAUCCCCAAGUAUCGUAUCCGUUUAUUUGGAGCCCUGUCUAUGGAAUCUGUCUGCUUCAUUAGUUACAUGAUUAAUUGCUAAACUUGGUGUUGAUCAAAAAAAUUUGGACUUGGCUUCCACAUUUGCCUUGUGAUUUUCUUUCAGGCUGGACUUUUAAGAGAGUAUAUGCACUGAAUUUGGGGGAAAAUCAAGGACAACCAUGUACAGAAGAAAGCAGAUACUCGUAGCAGGAUGACUAGGUUAACAGCGACGGUUGAGUAGAAAAGACUGAUGGAUGAUAGGAUGGGCGUUUUGCUGUGCUGGUGGCAUCGCCUUCCUACAUUGACAAUUCAGUGAGGCUGUGGCCACUACAGCGCUGCUGUUUUGGUCUCUUCCCCUUGUCAACAUCGAGUCGUUGCUCUAGUUUGGCGUUGCAAAAUGGCCUGGCUCAGUUGGUUGCCACGCGCCGACGCGCCAAAAAGAAAAGGGCAAGUUACUGCACUGCACUUGUCAUCCUUUGUUUUUUCUUGACUCAGCACCGGUCUCUGCAUGCCUCGGCGGCUAUAGAUUAGUGUUUCUUGCUCUCAGCUUUGCUGUGUGUUUGCUUAGAUUAUGCUGCCUCAAUCAGCUCAGGUGAUCCGCAGUGAUCCGUGUCACAGUCUCGCCAUGUUCACUCGAAACGUAAACAACCUUGCAGUGUGUUUUGUUAUUCAAAAGGAGUAUCAAAUAAUAUCGUCAUUAACUUGCUCUAAUUUUUCCGCUAGAUUUAAUUGAAGUAGGUGCUGUCUAGUAACAGUACGGCUGCGGUGGAUGGCUGGACAGCUUGUGACUUUGGCAAGGAAAAAAGAGGUCCCGUGGAGUGGACACCCACUUUUGCUGUUCUGCGAGGACAAAGAAGCAGCAGGAGCACGAGUCCAGAUCUGAGCGACGAACUUCUUCCAAAAAUAAAAUCUGAGCGAUGAACUUCUUCCAACAGAAAGAUCUGAGCCAUGAACAGUGCAACUGCUACUGCAGUUGCGUUGACCUGGAUAGACUCCACAGCAAUUAGUAAGAUAGGACAUUUUACUUGUUCAUUUUCAUGGCGUUAAGAAAACACACGAAUCACGUCAGCCACACGCGUUUAGAAAAGAAGACGGAGUUGUUGUGAUGUCUAUUUAUAUUUUGAAAGGAAGUUGUUGUCAUGUCUAAGGAAAGGGACAAACGAGGAAUAUUUUCCCUCCAAAAUGUAACAUAUCUUCGGUCUCACCCUGCCUGAAGAAAGCCGUUGCCAAUGACCCAAACGUAACCCACAAGCCACUUUGUUCUGGUAAAAAUGCGCUAGUCAACAUCAUCUCUUACUGCUACUGCAAAGAAAGCAGAGAGCUGGUCAAGAAAAUAGUUAAGAAAGCGGAGAGACUUUUCUACGUCAGUUUUGAACAAAUUUUAGCAGAGGGAAUAAUAUGGCAAAGUGGCUUCUGCAACCCUAAGGUGUAAGGAUGGGACGACAGUGAAAAUAUCACUUUUCCAUCCCUGGAAACUUUCCCACUGCCAUGUGGCUGGGGCUAGAUGAUGUAUACAUUCACAAGUUGUUUC
Molecule: long non-coding RNA, 2690 nt
Organism: Panicum virgatum (switchgrass)
Lineage: Eukaryota; Viridiplantae; Streptophyta; Magnoliopsida; Poales; Poaceae
Exons: 3
Source: RefSeq, a predicted model, not a curated record